Non-coding RNA from Odocoileus virginianus texanus, 771 nucleotides. Lineage: Eukaryota; Metazoa; Chordata; Mammalia; Artiodactyla; Cervidae. The record is from RefSeq and is a predicted model, not a curated record.
GCCCACGAGGUGUGACCUGCAAGAGCCACAGACAGGGCCCAAACGCUCUUCAAGGAGGCUGCUUCUAUCAGGCCUGGAUCUCCUCCAAAGCUGAGGCGCCCGGGGGCCCAGGAGGGGCUUUCUGGGUGGCCAGGGCCCCUCUGGGGUUCUUGGCCCCUGAGUGGGGGAUCUUCCCAGGGAUCAUACCCACGUCUCCUGUGGGUUCUUCACCACUGUGCCACCCGGAAAGCCCCAUUGAGGACAGAACCCGCAAAUCAGCGCUCACACAGCAUCCCCUGGGCGCACCCCGAGAGUAUGGAUAAAGUCCCGGGACAGCCGCCGAGGUGACAGCCAGCACCCUCACUUCCCACCUGCUCUCUCCAUGCAUCAGAGCCGAGCACCCGCCCUUGGCCAGCCAGUUCCCCAGGGUCACGGUCCCUCCCUGUCGUCACUGCUCAGCGAGGAACCGAGGGCCGAAGGAAACCAAGCCCUUCACUCUGGCGUGCAGCCAAAAGGUGAUGCGUAGACCUGUAGGCCUGUGUCUUUCAAGCAAGCAGAAAAGCUUUUCAAUUUUCUCUUAUAAGCCUGAGCUCGCUAUCUCACACCUUCUACUGCAGUUUAGCGGGGCAUUUUCUAAACUAUGGGAAAUUAUGGCUUUCAUAAUCUACAAAACAUUAAUCUACAAAGCUACUAUUUUUUACUACCAUUCCUGUUAUGAGUUGGCCUCAUGUGAGACUCCAGGCUAACAUGUCUGAUCCCACCCAGGACCUAAAGAUGCAGUCAGGAGCGCCG